CCUACGGGUGGCUGCAGUAGGGAAUAUUGGGCAAUGGAAGAGAUUCUGACCCAGCCAUGCCGCGUGCAGGAUGAAGGCUUUCUGAGUCGUAAACUGCUUUUGCCAGGGAAGAAAAAAGGGCAUGCGUGCCUUACUGACGGUACCUGGUGAAUAAGCACCGGCUAACUCCGUGCCAGCAGCCGCGGUAAUACGGAGGGUGCAAGCGUUGUCCGGAUUUAUUGGGUUUAAAGGGUGCGUAGGCGGUUCUUUAAGUCUGGGGUGAAAGCCCGUUGCUC
RNAcentral lists this ribosomal RNA (275 nucleotides) under uncultured bacterium. RNAcentral describes it as "partial 16S ribosomal RNA". It matches the Rfam family "Bacterial small subunit ribosomal RNA", at positions 338 to 610 of the family's 1533-position model. The record is from RNAcentral.